CCUACGGGUGGCAGCAGUGAGGAAUAUUGGUCAAUGGACGCAAGUCUGAACCAGCCAAGUAGCGUGCAGGAUGACGGCCCUCCGGGUUGUAAACUGCUUUUAGUUGGGAAUAAAAGGGGGCUCGUGAGCCCCGGAUUGUAUGUACCAUCAGAAAAAGGACCGGCUAAUUCCGUGCAAGCAGCCGCGGUAAUACGGAAGGUCCGGGCGUUAUUCGGAUUUAUUGGGUUUAAAGGGUGCGCAGGCGGAAGAUCAAGUCAGCGGUAAAAUUGAGGGGCUCAACCUCUUCGAGCCGUUGAAACUGGUGUUCUUGAGUGAGUGAGAAGUAUGCGGAAUGCGUGGUGUAGCGGUGAAAUGCAUAGAUAUAACGAAGAACUCCGAUGGCGAAGGCAGCAUACCGGCGCUCAACUGACGCUCAUGCACGAAAGUGUGGGUAUCGAACAGGAUUAGAUACCCGUGUAGUC
This 461-nucleotide ribosomal RNA is filed under the name uncultured bacterium. RNAcentral describes it as "partial 16S ribosomal RNA". It matches the Rfam family "Bacterial small subunit ribosomal RNA", at positions 338 to 795 of the family's 1533-position model. The record is from RNAcentral.